CGAUGAUCCCAGCUUGCUGGGGGAUUAGUGGCGAACGGGUGAGUAACACGUGAGUAACCUGCCCUUGACUCUGGGAUAAGCCUGGGAAACUGGGUCUAAUACCGGAUAUGACCUUCCAUCGCAUGGUGGUUGGUGGAAAGCUUUUGUGGUUUUGGAUGGACUCGCGGCCUAUCAGCUUGUUGGUGAGGUAAUGGCUUACCAAGGCGACGACGGGUAGCCGGCCUGAGAGGGUGACCGGCCACACUGGGACUGAGACACGGCCCAGACUCCUACGGGAGGCAGCAGUGGGGAAUAUUGCACAAUGGGCGCAAGCCUGAUGCAGCGACGCCGCGUGAGGGAUGACGGCCUUCGGGUUGUAAACCUCUUUCAGUAGGGAAGAAGCCGCAAGGUGACGGUACCUGCAGAAGAAGCGCCGGCUAACUACGUGCCAGCAGCCGCGGUAAUACGUAGGGCGCAAGCGUUAUCCGGAAUUAUUGGGCGUAAAGAGCUCGUAGGCGGUUUGUCGCGUCUGCCGUGAAAGUCCGGGGCUCAACUCCGGAUCUGCGGUGGGUACGGGCAGACUAGAGUGAUGUAGGGGAGACUGGAAUUCCUGGUGUAGCGGUGAAAUGCGCAGAUAUCAGGAGGAACACCGAUGGCGAAGGCAGGUCUCUGGGCAUUAACUGACGCUGAGGAGCGAAAGCAUGGGGAGCGAACAGGAUUAGAUACCCUGGUAGUCCAUGC
This 720-nucleotide ribosomal RNA is filed under the name Pseudarthrobacter sp. Its description in RNAcentral is "bacterial SSU rRNA". It matches the Rfam family "Bacterial small subunit ribosomal RNA", at positions 67 to 800 of the family's 1533-position model. The record is from RNAcentral. Lineage: Bacteria; Bacillati; Actinomycetota; Actinomycetes; Micrococcales; Micrococcaceae.